RNAcentral lists this ribosomal RNA (253 nucleotides) under uncultured bacterium. RNAcentral's name for it is "partial 16S ribosomal RNA". It matches the Rfam family "Bacterial small subunit ribosomal RNA", at positions 524 to 776 of the family's 1533-position model. The record is from RNAcentral.
UACGGAGGGUACAAACGUUGUUCGGAAUCACUGGGCAUAAAGCGCGCGUAGGCGGUCUAGCAAGUCAGGUGUGAAAGCCCCCGGCUCAACCGGGGAACUGCAUUUGAUACUACUAGGCUUGAGAAAGGUAGGGGUAAGUGGAACUCCAGGUGGAGCGGUGAAAUGCGUAGAUAUCUGGAGGAACUCCUGUGGCGAAAGCGGCUUACUGGACCUUUUCUGACGCUGAGGUGCGAAAGCUAGGGUAGCGAACGGG